RNAcentral lists this transfer RNA (631 nucleotides) under Nodularia spumigena NODSPU2. Its description in RNAcentral is "16S-23S ribosomal RNA intergenic spacer". The stretch from base 286 to 358 matches the Rfam family "tRNA". Lineage: Bacteria; Bacillati; Cyanobacteriota; Cyanophyceae; Nostocales; Nodulariaceae. The record is from RNAcentral.
CCUUUUAGGGAGACCGAAUCCACUCAAACGUCGAAAGCAAAUUGCAAUUAGAUAAUGAGUUGGUCAUUCCUAGGUCGGUCGCGAAUAUUUGUUGAAGCUCUCAAACUAUAGAUUUGGUUCGGAUAAUGGGCUAUUAGCUCAGGUGGUUAGAGCGCACCCCUGAUAAGGGUGAGGUCCCUGGUUCGAGUCCAGGAUGGCCCACCUGAAAUCAGUUAACAGUCAACAGUCAACAGUAGUCAGUCAAAAAACUGAUAACUGGUAACUGAUACCUGAUAACUGACUGAUGGGGGUUUAGCUCAGUUGGUAGAGCGCCUGCUUUGCAAGCAGGAUGUCAGCGGCUCGAGUCCGCUAAUCUCCACCUUGUGUAAAAAUCGCAGAAAGCAAAUAUAGUUAUUGGUUGUCAAUCAAGACAAUAAAUAGUUAUAACAUUUAUGUGGUGAAUAGCACAGUAUGAUAAGAUAGUAGAUCGGGAAAGAUUCAGCAAUUGAUUGUUGUGACAAUCGAACUGCUGGGUAGUUAUCCAGCCAGAACCUUGAAAACUGCAUAGUAACGCGAAAAAGAGCAGGCAGACACAGACAUGAAAAAUGAAAGUGUUUGCAUGGAGAAACCAAUGUAAUGUUGUGGUCAAGCU